GAUGAACGCUGGCGGCGUGCUUAACACAUGCAAGUCGAGCGAGAAGUUUUGAAGAGCUUCUUCGGAUGGAAUUUAAAAUGGAAAGCGGCGGACGGGUGAGUAACGCGUAGGCAACCUGCCCCAUACAAAGGGAUAGCAUUUGGAAACGAAUAUUAAUACCUUAUGAAACUUAACUAGUGCAUGCUAGGUAGGUCAAAGAUUUAUCGGUAUGGGAUGGGCCUGCGUCUGAUUAGCUAGUUGGUGAGGUAACGGCUCACCAAGGCGACGAUCAGUAGCCGACCUGAGAAGGUGAACGGCCAAAUUGGAACUGAGACACGGGCCAAACUCCUACGGGAGGCAGCAGUAGGGAAUAUUACACAAUGGGGGAAACCCGGAUGCAGCAACGCCGCGUGAACGACGAAGGCCUUGGGGUCGAAAAGGUCUGUUCUAGGUGAUGAAAACUGACAGUAACCUAGGAGAAAGCCCCGGCUAACUCCGUG
RNAcentral lists this ribosomal RNA (479 nucleotides) under uncultured bacterium. Its description in RNAcentral is "partial 16S ribosomal RNA". It matches the Rfam family "Bacterial small subunit ribosomal RNA", at positions 28 to 507 of the family's 1533-position model. The record is from RNAcentral.